This 242-nucleotide ribosomal RNA is filed under the name uncultured bacterium. RNAcentral's name for it is "partial 16S ribosomal RNA". It matches the Rfam family "Bacterial small subunit ribosomal RNA", at positions 93 to 334 of the family's 1533-position model. The record is from RNAcentral.
GACCGGCGCACGGGUGAGUAACACGUAUGCAACCUACCUUCUACAGGGAGAUAGCCCGGAGAAAUCCGGAUUAAUACCCCAUAACACAGGGAUUCCGCAUGGAAAUAUUUGUUAAAGAUUUAUCGGUAGAAGAUGGGCAUGCGUUCCAUUAGCCAGUUGGUGAGGUAACGGCUCACCAAAGCAACGAUGGAUAGGGGAACUGAGAGGUUUAUCCCCCACACUGGUACUGAGACACGGACCAG